UACGGAGGGUGCAAGCGUUAAUCGGAAUUACUGGGCGUAAAGCGCACGCAGGCGGUCUGUUAAGUCAGAUGUGAAAUCCCCGGGCUUAACCUGGGAACUGCAUUUGAAACUGGCAGGCUUGAGGCUCGUAGAGGGGGGUAGAAUUCCAGGUGUAGCGGUGAAAUGCGCAGAGAUCUGGAGGAAUACCGGUGGCGAAGGCGGCCCCCUGUACGAAGACUGACGCUCAGGUGCGAAAGCGUGGGGAGCAAACAGG
Molecule: ribosomal RNA, 253 nt
Filed under: uncultured bacterium
Lineage: Bacteria
Description: partial 16S ribosomal RNA
Rfam family: Bacterial small subunit ribosomal RNA
Source: RNAcentral